Molecule: ribosomal RNA, 499 nt
Filed under: uncultured Bacteroidota bacterium
Lineage: Bacteria; Pseudomonadati; Bacteroidota
Description: bacterial SSU rRNA
Rfam family: Bacterial small subunit ribosomal RNA
Source: RNAcentral
CCGCGUGAAGGAUGAAGGUCCUCUGGAUUGUAAACUUCUUUUAUAUGGGACGAAACCCGGGUAAUCCUACCCGAUUGACGGUACCAUAGGAAUAAGCACCGGCUAACUCCGUGCCAGCAGCCGCGGUAAUACGGAGGGUGCAAGCGUUAUCCGGAUUCACUGGGUUUAAAGGGUGCGUAGGAGGGUAGGUAAGUCAGUGGUGAAAUCUCCGGGCUCAACUCGGAAACUGCCGUUGAUACUAUCUGUCUUGAAUACCGUGGAGGUGAGCGGAAUAUGUCAUGUAGCGGUGAAAUGCUUAGAUAUGACAUAGAACACCGAUUGCGAAGGCAGCUCACUACACGCAUAUUGACUCUGAGGCACGAAAGCGUGGGGAUCAAACAGGAUUAGAUACCCUGGUAGUCCACGCCCUAAACUAUGGAUACUCGACAUACGCGAUACACUGUGUGUGUCUGAGCGAAAGCAUUAAGUAUCCCACCUGGGAAGUACGACCGCAAGGUUG